RNAcentral lists this ribosomal RNA (896 nucleotides) under Xylaria sp. ZS-2021d. Its description in RNAcentral is "partial large subunit ribosomal RNA". It matches the Rfam family "Eukaryotic large subunit ribosomal RNA", at positions 45 to 975 of the family's 3401-position model. Lineage: Eukaryota; Fungi; Ascomycota; Sordariomycetes; Xylariales; Xylariaceae. The record is from RNAcentral.
AAUCGGGGCAGAGCAACAGGGAUUGCCCUAGUAACGGCGAGUGAAGCGGCAACAGCUCAAAUUUGAAAUCUGGCCCUCGGGUCCGAGUUGUAAUUUGUAGAGGAUGCUUUUGGCGCGGUGCCUUCCGAGUUCCCUGGAACGGGACGCCUUAGAGGGUGAGAGCCCCGUACGGUUGGACACCAAGCCUCUGUAAAGCUCCUUCGACGAGUCGAGUAGUUUGGGAAUGCUGCUCUAAAUGGGAGGUAAAUUUCUUCUAAAGCUAAAUAUUGGCCAGAGACCGAUAGCGCACAAGUAGAGUGAUCGAAAGAUGAAAAGCACUUUGAAAAGAGGGUUAAAUAGCACGUGAAAUUGUUGAAAGGGAAGCGUUUGCGACCAGACCUUCUCCUGGCGGAUCAUCCGGUGUUCUCACCGGUGCACUUCGCCAAGUCGAGGCCAGCAUCGGUUUCCGCAGGGGGAUAAAAGCCUGGGGAACGUAGCUCCUCCGGGAGUGUUAUAGCCCCUCGCAUAAUACCUUUGCGGGGACCGAGGACCGCGCUUUUUGCAAGGAUGCUGGCGUAAUGGUCGUCAACGACCCGUCUUGAAACACGGACCAAGGAGUCGAACAUUUGUGCGAGUGUUUGGGUGUCAAACCCUCACGCGUAAUGAAAGUGAACGGAGGUGAGAGCCCUCACGGGUGCAUCAUCGACCGAUCCUGAUGUCUUCGGAUGGAUUUGAGUAAGAGCAUAACUGUUCGGACCCGAAAGAUGGUGAACUAUGCGUGGAUAGGGUGAAGCCAGAGGAAACUCUGGUGGAGGCUCGCAGCGGUUCUGACGUGCAAAUCGAUCGUCAAAUCUGCGCAUGGGGGCGAAAGACUUAUCGAACCAUCUAGUAGCUGGUUACCGUGAGUUUCUCCUCCU